Molecule: non-coding RNA, 224 nt
Filed under: Streptomyces bungoensis
Lineage: Bacteria; Bacillati; Actinomycetota; Actinomycetes; Kitasatosporales; Streptomycetaceae
Description: Streptomyces sRNA 4677
Rfam family: Streptomyces sRNA 4677
About the family: Located in the intergenic region between anti-sigma factor SCO4677 gene and a putative regulatory protein gene SCO4676. scr4677 expression requires the SCO4677 activity and scr4677 sRNA itself seem to affect the levels of the SCO4676-associated transcripts.
Source: Rfam by way of RNAcentral
GGGUCCGGCGGGCCACUGACCUCCUGAGAGAACCGGGGGAAAGAACCACCCGCCCGCCCACCCUCCCCGCCGGAAGGCGCACGUCACCCGUCCGAGUGACCAGCUUGCAGGGGUGGGACACGGACCGUUACGUUCGCCGCACAACCCAACACAGACGACGGCCCCCGGCCGGGACGGCAAUCCCGAUCGAGGGCCUGACCGAUCAGGAAGCAGAGACCUUCCCG